This 293-nucleotide ribosomal RNA is filed under the name uncultured bacterium. RNAcentral describes it as "partial 16S ribosomal RNA". It matches the Rfam family "Bacterial small subunit ribosomal RNA", at positions 333 to 643 of the family's 1533-position model. The record is from RNAcentral.
CUACUCCUACGGGGCGCAGCAGUGGGGAAUAUUGCACAAUGGGGGAAACCCUGAUGCAGCGACGCCGCGUGAGUGAAGAAGUAUUUCGGUAUGUAAAGCUCUAUCAGCAGGGAAGAAAAUGACGGUACCUGACUAAGAAGCCCCGGCUAACUACGUGCCGGCAGCCGCGGUAAUACGUAGGUGGCAAGCGUUAUCCGGAUUUAUUGGGUGUAAAGGGCGUGUAGGCGGGAAUGCAAGUCAGAUGUGAAAACUAUGGGCUCAACCCAUAGCCUGCAUUUGAAACUGUAUUUCUU